Molecule: ribosomal RNA, 253 nt
Filed under: uncultured bacterium
Lineage: Bacteria
Description: partial 16S ribosomal RNA
Rfam family: Bacterial small subunit ribosomal RNA
Source: RNAcentral
UACAGAGGUCUCAAGCGUUGUUCGGAUUUAUUGGGCGUAAAGCGUGCGUAGGCGGCGGGGUAAGUGAGGUGUGAAAUCCCGGGGCUUAACUCCGGAACUGCAUUUUAUACUGCCCUGCUCGAGGACUGGAAAGGAGACUGGAAUUUACGGUGUAGCAGUGAAAUGCGUAGAGAUCGUAAGGAAGACCAGUGGCGAAGGCGAGUCUCUGGAAAGCUGCUGACGCUGAGGCGCGAAGGCCAGGGGAGCAAACGGG